Molecule: long non-coding RNA, 3019 nt
Organism: Mus musculus (house mouse)
Lineage: Eukaryota; Metazoa; Chordata; Mammalia; Rodentia; Muridae
Product: predicted gene, 33292
Exons: 6
Source: RefSeq, a predicted model, not a curated record
CAGAGACCUGGGCCCACAGCAGCAGGUUAAAACCAGCCCUUACCCACUGAGAGCCCCACAUUGCUGCCCAGGCCCCUAUUGCCCCUGCCAGAUGAACAGAGAGGCCCCAGAGAUCUACGCAUCUCCAAGGUCCUCGGCAUGUGUCCCCCAGCUUCCUUAUAGACUCUGUGAAAGGGACCAGUGACCCAUGUCCAGCUGUGUUUUGGGAACUAACAGCUUACAAGGCCUGUGUUCCCAGCAUGUUCUCUCCUCCCUCGUGGCCCUCCUCCACCCUCAGCUCAGGGCUGGGCACUCACGAGGAUUUGUCCACCUCCUGUCGAAUCUUUUUGACGGACAACUGGAUACUGAAUCGGAUGCUGUUCAAAAUGUUCUUGAACCUCAGGUUUCAGCAGGAAGUCUGGAUAGCCAACCAUGACCAUCAUGUACUGGAGCUGCAGCACCAACAUCAGGACCACCAUCAGCUCAUCUAUUAUCCUUGCCUUUGUGGAAUUCAUCGUCAUCUCUACUAUGGGCAUCGAAAUCACAUCAUUGCUAUCCCAUCACCAGUGCUGGCAAUGCCACCAUCACCAUCAGGACCCACGUGGUACCCAGCACUAUCUGAUCUCAUCGAAUCCUCAGAGUAAGACCUCCGUGGUCUAAUUUCUCAGAUGCUCACCAAGCCGCAGAAGUCCAGACCACUGUAGACCCGGAUUGUCUCCUCUCCUCCUCAGAAGCACGGGCCUGUAAGCCUCACCCCUUGCUAGGCCCUGGAGGAACAGAAACAGAGCUAUAUCUGUCCCCAGCCUUUUUACCGAAAGCUGGAGCCACAGUCUGAGGACCCAAAGCAUGGGAGGCUGAGGCUGGAGGAGUGAGGGGGCAGGGGCGUGCUGCAACUAAAUUUGCUCAUCUAGCCUGUCAGUCCCUUAAUCUGGUCCCAGAGGAACAGCGCAGAGGCUUCACUCUGGAUGACAAACGAGGAGGGGAAAGGCCUGCCCUGCCUGGACGCUCGAUCCCACACUGUCCGUGUAACCAACUUGAACCCUGGAGCAAGUCACAGCAAGUAUCAUCUCUCUCUUCAGUGGGGCCUCCCAGUGGUUCCCCUUCAGAUCUGGGAAAGCAUCCAUCUCUCUGAGCCUCAGUGUACUGGUCUUUAAAAUGGGCCCCCUAUGAAGCUCAGUGAAGUAAGCAGUAUAAAUAAAUGAUUUAUGAGGUCACAGGGGUCACCCGGAAUUCCAGCCCUCUGCUUUGAUGCCCUCAGUCUGUUCUCCACGCCUGUCAGGGCACAUUCGUGCAGGAGAGCCAAAGCUGGGAGCCUCCGGAGCACGGAUGGCCAGGCAAAACUAAAAAGGCCAGGGUGAGGUGGAGGGGGUCAGGGAUGAGGAAGGGUGGAGUAGGGGGAAGGAGGAAGGUGGCGCUUAUCCUAGGUCUAGGAUAGAGUGAAGACCUAGGGACCAGCUACCACUAUUGAUCCGUACUGCCUGUUGCCCCAGCCCAGCAUAUCCCAGCUUCCUGGGUGCAACCUAUUUGGUGCAGUCCUCUGAUGUCACAUAGUCACAGCCCUUAAGACUUGUUGAACAAGGCAUCGUGCCAGGAUUGAGGAUGCAUCUCAAUGGGCAGAGUGGUUGCCAGCAUGCUCAAAGCCCUGGGUUCUCCGGUUCCUCAUAAAACGAAUGUGGUGGUGCGUAACUGUUAGCCUCAAUACUCCCCGAGACAGAGGAAAACCAGAAAAUGUCUCCUACAACUCAGCAAGCUGCCCUCCACCCCCGCAGAGCUACACUUGACCCGGAAGAGGGUGAUUUGGGGAUAAAGUCCAGUGUUGGGGUACUGGAGCGCAGAAAAGGAGUCCCAGGUCUCAAAACAGAGAAGAUGCCCCCUUCUGCUGCGUAGGUCUGAAGGAGUCUCCUGAAGGGGAGGUGGCAUUGAAGGAGGGGCUUCUGAAACGCACCCCACCUCCCACCUCCCGUUCUGUGUGCCUUAAGGCACAGGAUUUCCCAAGCCCUCGUUAUAGGUCUGCAUCUCUCACAAAGAGCCACCAGGAGGCGCCCCGCGCCUACAAAUCCCCCUACGGCCGCCUACAGGAGGAAGGUCUGUGGCGGGAGGAUCAAAGCCUCUGAGCAACCCAGGGUCCCUGAGCCCCUCAGGGCGACCCUUUCCUUCUCCUACCCAGUGGUUCCAGGCCCGCCGCCAGGCUUCCACAGCGGAGUGGGCUACAGUGUGGCGAAGGUCCCACCACUGAGCCUGUCAGGCCAGGUUUCCACUCUUUCCCUGAGUCCCCUAUCUGCGGAAGUCUCAGCCUCUUGGCAAGCACAAAGAUCACUGCUGGUCAGGGUCUGGUUUGGUCCGUUCUGGUCAUGGCCACAGCUGCUGAGCCUCAGCCCAUCCCAGGCUUCCAUGGACCAACUGUUCCCAUGCUCUCUUCGUUCAGACUCAUAAGAUGCGUUAAUGCUUAGGCCUGGGCCACCCGGGCUGGAGGUCAGAGCCUGCAAAGAGAACAGUCUCUGCAGACCAGGACUCCUGGCUUUCUUAAUCUUGAGUAGAGAUUCCACCUGGAAACCAUCCGGGACAAACAGCUCCCGAAUUUAAAAAAAAAAAAAAGUUACAUUUUUAGUUGUGUUUGUUUUGUUGGCUUUUGCUUUUAUCUGUGAACUUAAGUGUGUACAGGGCAGAGGACAAGUUGCAGAUGUCAAUUCUUUCCUUUGACCAUGUAGAGCUCAGGGAUUGAAGUCUGGUGCUUGGGCUUGGAGGCAGUUAUGGUUAUGCACUCAGCCAUUUAUCCAGCCCUUUAAAAUGUAGGUUUGUUUGUUUGUUUGUUUGUUUUUUAAAAUAUUUGUAAGCUGGGUGUGGUGGGGGCUGGAGAGAUGGCUCAGCCGUUAAGAGUACUGACCACUCUUCCGAAGGUCCUGAGUUCAAAUCCCAGCAACCACAUGGUGGCUCACAACCAUCCAUAAUGAGAUCUGACGCCCCCUCCUGGGGUGUCUGAAGACAGUGUACUUACAUACAAUAAAUAAAUAAAUAAAUAAAUAAAUAUGCAGAAAGUGCU